CCCCCAUCCAGGACUUGAAUCCUGCUGAAUGAGCCAGACAGUAGAUGAGCGUCCAGCUGGACGGACUCUACAUGCAAUAACCAGCGGAUCCAGGGAGCGACCGCAGUCAUCACCCCCAGGGAGAGGACUCUGAAACGGGGGACAGAUCCAGCUCACAGGCCCUCGGAUCACAAGCAGCCACACGUCUACUGGCCUUGGUGUUGACUUCGCUACUGACGACACUUUACAUGUACCUACCUAGCUGUUAACGUCAACAAUCUGCUGGUGACCCCCCUUCCAAACGCUUUCAUUUCCUGUUACCUGUGGACCCGUCUGAGGUGAAGAGGAGGGUAAAGAGAACCUCUAGACGUUCUAGAACUAGAACAGAACUGUGUCUGAUGUUCUAGAAGGAGACGGGAUGAUGUCAGACAGGAAGAGGAUAUGACAAUCAUAUAUAUAUAUAUACCUGACUAUACCUGCCAUUAAGUUUCACUAACAACCUAAUACUGAGAUAUUUAACAAAGUCUAAUGUCUCUGGCCUGAAAUACUCUCCUCCUCUUAAAACAUUUUUUUAUCAUGUAAAAAAGGGGAAAAUAAUGUCAUUGUAUUUCAUUGAUAAUAUAAACUACCGUUCAAAAAGUCUUGGGGUCACUUAGAAAUGUCCUUGUUUUUGAAGGAAACAGAAGAAUAAAAAAUGGUCCAUUUUUAAAAUAAACAUAAAAUUGAUCAGAAAUACAGCGUAGACAUUGUUAAUGUUGUAAAUGACUAUUGUAGCUGGAAACGGCUGAUUUUUAAUGGAAUAUCUACAUAGGCGUUCAGAGGCCCAUUAUCAGCAACCAUCACUCCUGUGUUCCAAUGGCACGUUGUGUUAGCUAAUCCAAGUUUAUCAUUUUAAAAAGGCUAAUUGAUCAUUAGAAAACCCUUCUGCAAUUGAUGUUAGCACAGCUGAAACACUGUUGUACUGAUUAAAGAAGCAAUAAAACUGGCCUUCUUAAGACUAGUUGAGUAUCUGGAGCAUCAGCAUUUGUGGGUUCGAUUACAGGCUCAAAAUAGCCAGAAACAAAUAACUUUCUUCUGAAACUUG
Molecule: long non-coding RNA, 1063 nt
Filed under: Salmo salar (Atlantic salmon)
Lineage: Eukaryota; Metazoa; Chordata; Actinopteri; Salmoniformes; Salmonidae
Description: lncRNA (ENSSSAG00000102185.1)
Source: RNAcentral